AAAUAUUCCUGUACUUCUGGUUAUUGCGAUGGAGGGACGGAGAAGGCUAGGCCAGCUUGGCGUUGGUUGUCCAAGUUUAAGGUGGUAGGCUGAGAUCUUAGGUAAAUCCGGGAUCUUAAGGCCGAGAGCUGAUGACGAGUGUCCUUUAGGACACGAAGUGGUUGAUGCCAUGCUUCCAAGAAAAGCUUCUAAGCUUCAGGUAACCAGGAACCGUACCCCAAACCGACACAGGUGGUUGGGUAGAGAAUACCAAGGCGCUUGAGAGAACUCGGGUGAAGGAACUAGGCAAAAUGGCACCGUAACUUCGGGAGAAGGUGCGCCGGUGAGGGUGAAGCAUUUACUGCGUAAGCCCACGCCGGUCGAAGAUACCAGGCCGCUGCGACUGUUUAUUAAAAACACAGCACUCUGCAAACACGAAAGUGGACGUAUAGGGUGUGACGCCUCCCCGGUGCCGGAAGGUUAAUUGAUGGGGUUAGCUAACGCGAAGCUCUUGAUCGAAGCCCCGGUAAACGGCGGCCGUAACGAUAACGGUCCUAAGGUAGCGAAAUUCCUUGUCGGGUAAGUUCCGACCUGCACGAAUGGCGUAACGAUGGCGGCGCUGUCUCCACCCGAGACUCAGUGAAAUUGAAAUCGCUGUGAAGAUGCAGUGUAUCCGCGGCUAGACGGAAAGACCCCGUGAACCUUUACUAUAGCUUUGCACUGGACUUUGAAUUUGCUUGUGUAGGAUAGGUGGGAGGCUUUGAAGCGUGGACGCCAGUCUGCGUGGAGCCAACCUUGAAAUACCACCCUGGCAACUUUGAGGUUCUAACUCAGGUCCGUUAUCCGGAUCGAGGACAGUGUAUGGUGGGUAGUUUGACUGGGGCGGUCUCCUCCUAAAGAGUAACGGAGGAGUACGAAGGUGCGCUCAGACCGGUCGGAAAUCGGUCGUAGAGUAUAAAGGCAAAAGCGCGCUUGACUGCGAGACAGACACGUCGAGCAGGUACGAAAGUAGGUCUUAGUGAUCCGGUGGUUCUGUAUGGAAGGGCCAUCGCUCAACGGAUAAAAGGUACUCCGGGGAUAACAGGCUGAUACCGCCCAAGAGUUCAUAUCGACGGCGGUGUUUGGCACCUCGAUGUCGGCUCAUCACAUCCUGGGGCUGAAGCCGGUCCCAAGGGUAUGGCUGUUCGCCAUUUAAAGUGGUACGCGAGCUGGGUUUAGAACGUCGUGAGACAGUUCGGUCCCUAUCUGCCGUGGACGUUUGAGAUUUGAGAGGGGCUGCUCCUAGUACGAGAGGACCGGAGUGGACGAACCUCUGGUGUUCCGGUUGUCACGCCAGUGGCAUUGCCGGGUAGCUAUGUUCGGAAUAGAUAACCGCUGAAAGCAUCUAAGCGGGAAACUAGCCUCAAGAUGAGAUCUCACUGGAACCUUGAGUUCCCUGAAGGGCCGUCGAAGACUACGACGUUGAUAGGUGGGGUGUGUAAGCGCUGUGAGGCGUUGAGCUAACCCAUACUAAUUGCCCGUGAGGCUUGACC
This 1511-nucleotide ribosomal RNA is filed under the name metagenome. RNAcentral's name for it is "bacterial LSU rRNA". It matches the Rfam family "Bacterial large subunit ribosomal RNA", at positions 1431 to 2925 of the family's 2925-position model. The record is from RNAcentral.